RNAcentral lists this ribosomal RNA (546 nucleotides) under uncultured archaeon. RNAcentral's name for it is "bacterial SSU rRNA". It matches the Rfam family "Archaeal small subunit ribosomal RNA", at positions 456 to 997 of the family's 1478-position model. The record is from RNAcentral.
CGGCAGCCGCCGCCGGGAAUACCCGCAGCCCAAGUGGUGGUCGAUUUAUUGAAGUCUAAAACGUUCGUAGCCGGUUGGUAAAUCCUUGGGUAAAUCGAGAGGCUAACUUUCGAAUUCCGAGGAGACUGCCAAACUUGGGACCGGGAGAGGCGAGAGGUACGUUCUGGGGUAGGGGUAAAAGUACCUGUAAUCCUAGAAGGACCACCGGUGGCGAAGGCGUCUCGCUAGAACGGAUCCGACGGUGAGGGACGAAGCCCUGGGUCGCAAACGGGAUUAGAUACCCCGGUAGUCCAGGGUGUAAACGCUGCAGACUUGGUGUUGGGGGCCCUACGGGGGCGUUCAGUGCCGGAGAGAAGUUGUUAAGUCUGCUACUUGGGGAGUACGUCCGCAAGGAUGAAACUUAAAGGAAUUGGCGGGGGAGCACCGCAAACCGGGAGGAGCGUGCGGUUUAAUUGGAUUCAACACCGGAAAACUCACCAGCGGCGACUGUUACAUGAAAGUCAGGCCGAUGACCUUACUAGAUUUUCAGAGAGGAGUGGUGCAUGG